AAGCUUAGGUUAAACUAAACCAGAGGCCUUCAAAGCCCCAAAUAAGAGGACGCACCCUCCUAGCUUCU
RNAcentral lists this transfer RNA (68 nucleotides) under Cyrtodactylus consobrinus. RNAcentral describes it as "tRNA-Trp". Lineage: Eukaryota; Metazoa; Chordata; Lepidosauria; Squamata; Gekkonidae. The record is from RNAcentral.